CCUACGGGUGGCUGCAGUGGGGAAUAUUGGUCAAUGGGCGCAAGCCUGACCCAGCAACGCCGCGUGAAGGAAGAAGGCUUUCGGGUUGUAAACUUCUUUUGUCAGGGACGAAGCAAGUGACGGUACCUGCCGAAUAAGCCAAGGCUAACUACGUGCCAGCAGCAGCGGUAAUACGUAGGGGGCAAGCGUUCUCCGGAUUUACUGGGGGUAAAGGGCGUUGAGGCGGGGAAGCAAGUCAGAUGGGAAAACCACGGGCUCAACCUGUGGCCUGCAUUUGAAACUGGUUGUCUUGCGUGCUGGAGAGGCAAUCGGAAUUCCGGGUGUAGCGGUGAAAUGCGGAGAUAUACGGAGGAACACCAGUGGCGAAGGCGGAUUGCUGGACAGUAACUGACGCUGAGGCGCGAAAGCGUGGGGAGCAAACAGGAUUAGAUACCCUAGUAGUC
RNAcentral lists this ribosomal RNA (443 nucleotides) under uncultured bacterium. RNAcentral describes it as "partial 16S ribosomal RNA". It matches the Rfam family "Bacterial small subunit ribosomal RNA", at positions 338 to 795 of the family's 1533-position model. The record is from RNAcentral.